This 490-nucleotide ribosomal RNA is filed under the name uncultured bacterium. Its description in RNAcentral is "partial 16S ribosomal RNA". It matches the Rfam family "Bacterial small subunit ribosomal RNA", at positions 30 to 507 of the family's 1533-position model. The record is from RNAcentral.
AUUGGACGCUGGCGGCAUGCCUUACACAUGCAAGUCGAACGGCAGCAUGAUCUAGCUUGCUCGAUUGAUGGCGAGUGGCGAACGGGUGAGUAAUACAUCGGAACGUGCCCUGUAGUGGGGGAUAACUAGUCGAAAGAUUAGCUAAUACCGCAUACGACCUGAGGGUGAAAGUGGGGGACCGCAAGGCCUCAUGCUAUAGGAGCGGCCGAUGUCUGAUUAGCUAGUUGGUGAGGUAAAGGCUCACCAAGGCGACGAUCAGUAGCUGGUCUGAGAGGACGAUCAGCCACACUGGGACUGAGACACGGCACAGACUCCUACGGGAGGCAGCAGUGGGGAAUUUUGGACAAUGGGCGAAAGCCUGAUCCAGCAAUGCCGCGUGUGUGAAGAAGGCCUUCGGGUUGUAAAGCACUUUUGUCCGGAAAGAAAUGGCUCUGGUUAAUACCUGGGGUCGAUGACGGUACCGGAAGAAUAAGGACCGGCUAACUACGUG